GCGCGAAACCUCCGCAAUGCGAGCAAUCGCGACGGGGGAAACCCAAGUGCCACUCUUAACGGGGUGGCUUUUCUGAAGUGUAAAAAGCUUCAAGAAUAAGAGCUGGGCAAGACCGGUGCCAGCCGCCGCGGUAACACCGGCAGCUCAAGCGGUGGCCGUUUUUAUUGGGCCUAAAGCGUUCGUAGCCGGCUUGAUAAGUCUCUGGUGAAAUCCCACAGCUUAACUGUGGGAAUUGCUGGAGAUACUAUCAGGCUUGAGGCCGGGAGAGGCUGGAGGUACUCCCAGGGUAGGGGUGAAAUCCUAUAAUCCUGGGAGGACCACCUGUGGCGAAGGCGUCCAGCUGGAACGGACCUGACGGUGAGUAACGACAGCCAGGGGCGCGAACCG
This 387-nucleotide ribosomal RNA is filed under the name uncultured bacterium. RNAcentral describes it as "bacterial SSU rRNA". It matches the Rfam family "Archaeal small subunit ribosomal RNA", at positions 339 to 726 of the family's 1478-position model. The record is from RNAcentral.